This is a non-coding RNA of Sinocyclocheilus rhinocerous, 386 nucleotides long. Lineage: Eukaryota; Metazoa; Chordata; Actinopteri; Cypriniformes; Cyprinidae. The record is from the annotation of a RefSeq genome assembly.
CAUUAAUACACUGAUCUGACCUAGUAAACAUGGUAAAAUGCCUGUUUCUGAUUUUAAUUCUGACUCCAGGUGUGAUGACUGCAGACCAGAUUAGGCCAAAUAAAGAAACUAGUGUCAUAAAGAAGGAAGAUGAGAUUGUAUCCCUCAGCUGCUCAUAUGAUACAAGCAGCAGAUAUGUUAGACUUUACUGGUACAGACAGUAUCCUAAAGGAGAACCUCAGUAUUUAAUGUGGAAAGAGGCUCGGGAUUGGAGUAGCACUGGGAAGCCAGCUGAUCCUCGUUUUCAGUCGACUACAUCAGAAACAUCCACUGAACUCACCAUUACUAGUGUAACUCUGUCAGAUUCCGCUCUCUAUUAUUGUGCUCUAAGAGUUGGAGCCCAGUGA